AGGUAUCAGAGUUAUUGGUAUUCAACUUUUUCAACUUUGAUACUGAAAUAAAAAAUAGAAGAUCCAUUUUCGAUGUUCAACGAUGCUUCAAAAAUGAUGAUGACUAUCUAUGGGUUACUAUUGGUUUUAAUGCAGACGAAGCAAUAUUGAUGAAAAUCAGGGAUAAUGUCCCGAGUAUUCAAUCGAACAUUCUGAAUAGCAUUUACUCAACUUCUGAAUUAAACCCUGUUAGAGUACCUACCAUUCUAGUGGAUAUUAAAGAAGGAUUAUUUGUGACUUUAUUGAUACUAGGGAAGCCUCCAGUUCUUUGUAAGUUUUUUU
Long non-coding RNA from Parasteatoda tepidariorum (common house spider), 321 nucleotides. The record is from RefSeq and is a predicted model, not a curated record. NCBI's taxonomy places the organism in Eukaryota, Metazoa, Arthropoda, Arachnida, Araneae, Theridiidae.